GUUGAGUAAAUUAUGAAAGGAAG
RNAcentral lists this non-coding RNA (23 nucleotides) under Cricetulus griseus (Chinese hamster). The record is from RNAcentral. Lineage: Eukaryota; Metazoa; Chordata; Mammalia; Rodentia; Cricetidae.